RNAcentral lists this ribosomal RNA (468 nucleotides) under uncultured bacterium. RNAcentral describes it as "partial 16S ribosomal RNA". It matches the Rfam family "Bacterial small subunit ribosomal RNA", at positions 28 to 507 of the family's 1533-position model. The record is from RNAcentral.
GACGAACGCUGGCGGCGUGCUUAACACAUGCAAGUCGAACGGUGAAGCUCCAGCUUGCUGGAGUGGAUCAGUGGCGAACGGGUGAGUAACACGUGAGCAACCUGCCCCUGACUCUGGAAUAAGCGCUGGAAACGGCGUCUAAUACUGGAUACGAGAAGGGUCUGCAUGGGCACCUUCUGGAAAGUUUUUCGGUUGGGGAUGGGCUCGCGGCCUAUCAGCUUGUUGGUGAGGUAAUGGCUCACCAAGGCGACGACGGGUAGCCGGCCUGAGAGGGCGACCGGCCACACUGGGACUGAGACACGGCCCAGACUCCUACGGGAGGCAGCAGUGGGGAAUAUUGCACAAUGGGCGAAAGCCUGAUGCAGCGACGCCGCGUGAGGGAUGACGGCCUUCGGGUUGUAAACCUCUUUCAGCAGGGAAGAAGCGAAAGUGACGGUACCUGCAGAAGAAGCACCGGCUAACUACGUG